GCACUAAUGAAGAGUCAAACAAUAGGACGAAACGGUCGUCCAGUGC
Molecule: non-coding RNA, 46 nt
Filed under: Schistosoma curassoni
Lineage: Eukaryota; Metazoa; Platyhelminthes; Trematoda; Strigeidida; Schistosomatidae
Source: RNAcentral